Molecule: long non-coding RNA, 332 nt
Organism: Lycium barbarum (goji berry)
Lineage: Eukaryota; Viridiplantae; Streptophyta; Magnoliopsida; Solanales; Solanaceae
Exons: 3
Source: RefSeq, a predicted model, not a curated record
AAGAGAAAAGAAAAGAAAAAAAAAUCUUGGAGUUAAAUCCUUGGUUCAAAAAUCCAUUUCUUGUGGGAUUAUUACUAAGUGCAAGAUUCUCUACAACUUGGUACAAUUAUUUUGGCAAGAAACUAUCUUUGGUAGCAAGGAGAAUUUGUUGGUAAAAAGAUUCUGGACGAGAUUGGAAUCGAAGCCAAGCGAGCGUAAGGCGCAAUCGAGGUACAGACGCACCUGAAGAUACGCCGCCAGUCUAGGGCUCAGAUUCUGCUAUUUUGAAGAGCUCCUUUGGUCCGGAGCGUGUACUUUUGGUAUAUAUCUUCUGUCUUCUGUAUAUUCUGUAU